AACCGUUCCUCCCGGGCCUCACUUCUUGCCAUGUCCUCCUUCCAUUGUCGAGUCAUGACUUGCAUCUGGUUUACCAGCACAUGGACGUCUCUCACUGGCCUUGUUUGCUGGGUCCUCGUUCCUUUAAGAAACGGCAGCUAUAAAGUCAGUCGUAUCCCUACCGAUUAGGCAUGUGGUAGUAACCAUCUCGACAUCAGCUGUUUGUUAGACUACACAGGAUGAGUGACAGCAUGGCAUGAAGAUUCUUUGUGAUGCCCAUAUGUUGAUGCAGUUAUAAUAUUGCAGAACUUACCAGGUAGAUCAUCGGUGAUUGUAGCACGCAGUGGAGUAGAAGGUGGUGGAGAGCAGCUAGAGUCGACCUAACGGAGGAGGUAGCACGCAGUGGAGUAGAAGGUGGUGGAGUUGACGUAGGUGAGGAGGUUCCAGAUGAGCCUCCGAGCAGCGUCUCUUCCGGGUCCAUUGUAGUAUCUAUAAGAUGGUACAGCACAAAUAAUAAUAAAACGUUAUUUAUAGAGCACCUUUCAUGCAAAAGAAUGCAGCUCAAAGUGCUUUACAGCAAAUACGUGCGUAAUAACGUGCACAAAGAAAUUACCUGCACAUAAAAAUGGACAAAGAAACAUAAAAACUCAACUAUAGUGCAAAAACAAAUGUAGAAAGUACAGUUCAUGUAAUGUACACUUUAUUACGUUUGUAACUUUCAUUCUAAAUUGAAUUCCUUGCAGGUUAGUGGGAAGAUCUACACGUUUCUCAAAGGCUAAGGGCUAGCUAGCAAGUGGCACCCAUGUUAGCUAUGAAAGCUACGGUUAUCAAGUGGGACCCGGGUUAGCCUUACGUUUUAUCAUUGUUACAUUGUUUUCAUCGUCGAUUUAAUUCCUCGCUAGUUAUGGGAAGGU
This is a long non-coding RNA of Gasterosteus aculeatus aculeatus (three-spined stickleback), 893 nucleotides long. NCBI's taxonomy places the organism in Eukaryota, Metazoa, Chordata, Actinopteri, Perciformes, Gasterosteidae. The record is from Ensembl.